Molecule: small nucleolar RNA, 132 nt
Organism: Balaenoptera musculus (blue whale)
Lineage: Eukaryota; Metazoa; Chordata; Mammalia; Artiodactyla; Balaenopteridae
Product: small nucleolar RNA, H/ACA box 20
Source: Ensembl
CUUCCCAUUUAUUUGCUGCUAUAUAGUCUUUCAGUGAUAUAAGCAGUUAUACGCAUGGGAUAAAAUAAUGUUGGGCCAUUGUAAAUUGAGGUGAAGUAACCAUUUCAUCUCUUCUCCAUGGUCUAGACAUUG